AUUAAACGCUGGCGGCAUGCCUUACACAUGCAAGUCGAACGGCAGCACGGCAGAGCUUGCUCUGUGGGUGGCGAGUGGCGGACGGGUGAGGAAUACAUGGGAAUCUGCCCAGUCGUGGGGGAUAACGUAGGGAAACUUACGCUAAUACCGCAUGCGCCCUUCGGGGGAAAGCCGGGGACCUUCGGGCCUGGCGCGAUUGGAUGAGCCCAUGUCGGAUUAGCUAGUUGGCGGGGUAAUGGCCCACCAAGGCGACGAUCCGUAGCUGGUCUGAGAGGAUGAUCAGCCACACUGGAACUGAGACACGGUCCAGACUCCUACGGGAGGCAGCAGUAGGGAAUAUUGGACAAUGGGCGCAAGCCUGAUCCAGCCAUGCCGCGUGAGUGAAGAAGGCCCUCGGGUUGUAAAGCACUUUCAGUGGGGAAGAACAGAUUCGGGUCAAUACCCCGGAGCCCUGACGUUACCCACAGAAGAAGCACCGGCUAACUCCGUGCCAG
This 494-nucleotide ribosomal RNA is filed under the name uncultured bacterium. Its description in RNAcentral is "bacterial SSU rRNA". It matches the Rfam family "Bacterial small subunit ribosomal RNA", at positions 29 to 511 of the family's 1533-position model. The record is from RNAcentral.